RNAcentral lists this ribosomal RNA (524 nucleotides) under uncultured bacterium. RNAcentral describes it as "bacterial SSU rRNA". It matches the Rfam family "Bacterial small subunit ribosomal RNA", at positions 984 to 1509 of the family's 1533-position model. The record is from RNAcentral.
ACAUCCAGCGAACUUGGCAGAGAUGCCUUGGUGCCUUCGGAACGCUGAGACAGGUGCUGCAUGGCUGUCGUCAGCUCGUGUUGUGAAAUGUUGGGUUAAGUCCCGNAACGAGCGCAACCCUUAUCCUUUGUUGCCAGCGAUUCGGUCGGGAACUCAAAGGAGACUGCCGGUGAUAAACCGGAGGAAGGUGGGGAUGACGUCAAGUCAUCAUGGCCCUUACGAGUAGGGCUACACACGUGCUACAAUGGCGCAUACAAAGAGAAGCGACCUCGCGAGAGCAAGCGGACCUCAUAAAGUGCGUCGUAGUCCGGAUCGGAGUCUGCAACUCGACUCCGUGAAGUCGGAAUCGCUAGUAAUCGUGGAUCAGAAUGCCACGGUGAAUACGUUCCCGGGCCUUGUACACACCGCCCGUCACACCAUGGGAGUGGGUUGCAAAAGAAGUAGGUAGCUUAACCUUCGGGAGGGCGCUUACCACUUUGUGAUUCAUGACUGGGGUGAAGUCGUAACAAGGUAAGCGUAGCGAG